This 460-nucleotide ribosomal RNA is filed under the name uncultured bacterium. Its description in RNAcentral is "partial 16S ribosomal RNA". It matches the Rfam family "Bacterial small subunit ribosomal RNA", at positions 338 to 795 of the family's 1533-position model. The record is from RNAcentral.
CCUACGGGAGGCAGCAGUGAGGAAUAUUGGUCAAUGGACGAGAGUCUGAACCAGCCAAGUAGCGUGAAGGAUGACUGCCCUAUGGGUUGUAAACUUCUUUUAUAUGGGAAUAAAAUGUUCCACGUGUGGGAUUUUGUAUGUACCAUAUGAAUAAGGAUCGGCUAACUCCGUGCCAGCAGCCGCGGUAAUACGGGGGAUCCGAGCGUUAUCCGGAUUUAUUGGGUUUAAAGGGAGCGUAGGUGGAUUGUUAAGUCAGUUGUGAAAGUUUGCGGCUCAACCGUAAAAUUGCAGUUGAAACUGGCAGUCUUGAGUACAGUAGAGGUGGGCGGAAUUCGUGGUGUAGCGGUGAAAUGCUUAGAUAUCACGAAGAACUCCGAUUGCGAAGGCAGUUCACUGGACUGCAACUGACACUGAGGCUCGAAAGUGUUGGUAUCAAACAGGAUUAGAUACCCCGGUAGUC